AACGCGAGCACUUGUGCUCGAGUGGCGAACGGGUGAGUAAUACAUAAGUAACCUGCCCUAGACAGGGGGAUAACUAUUGGAAACGAUAGCUAAGACCGCAUAGGUACGGACACUGCAUGGUGACCGUAUUAAAAGUGCCUCAAAGCACUGGUAGAGGAUGGACUUAUGGCGCAUUAGCUGGUUGGCGGGGUAACGGCCCACCAAGGCGACGAUGCGUAGCCGACCUGAGAGGGUGACCGGCCACACUGGGACUGAGACACGGCCCAGACUCC
RNAcentral lists this ribosomal RNA (272 nucleotides) under uncultured Coprobacillus sp. RNAcentral describes it as "partial 16S ribosomal RNA". It matches the Rfam family "Bacterial small subunit ribosomal RNA", at positions 65 to 339 of the family's 1533-position model. Lineage: Bacteria; Bacillati; Bacillota; Erysipelotrichia; Erysipelotrichales; Coprobacillaceae. The record is from RNAcentral.